UGGGAGGUGGCUGAGAUGGAGAAGCGCCGGUCUUUGAAAUCGGAUGACGUUGGUUCAAGUCCAACCCUCCCAGCCA
Molecule: transfer RNA, 76 nt
Filed under: Terriglobia bacterium
Lineage: Bacteria; Pseudomonadati; Acidobacteriota; Terriglobia
Description: tRNA-Gln
Rfam family: tRNA
About the family: Transfer RNA (tRNA) molecules are approximately 80 nucleotides in length. Their secondary structure includes four short double-helical elements and three loops (D, anti-codon, and T loops).
Source: RNAcentral